This 718-nucleotide long non-coding RNA is filed under the name Glycine max (soybean). RNAcentral describes it as "long non-coding RNA (GMAX_LNC003265)". The record is from RNAcentral. Lineage: Eukaryota; Viridiplantae; Streptophyta; Magnoliopsida; Fabales; Fabaceae.
AUGUGGAAAACUUGUUGUGCACCAUCGCCCGACCGCCACCUAGUACCACAUGUGAUGGGUACCCCAUAAUCCUACAAGCUUGAGAUGAGGAAGUGUAGAAGGGUGAAACUUCCUGCUUUUAUUGUUGACCACAGAGUGGUACCUGGAGAUAUGUCGCGGGGGUCAGGAGACCUUGGGGACGUCAGGUGGGGUGUUAUUGCCCAAAACCAAGCUUGACCAAUCCCGACCCAACCCGGGCAUAGUCGGUCAGUGAGAACCUGUGAUGUACCUAAGCAGGCGAGCUCCUGGCAGUCAACAGAUAAAAGGAACAAAGACCACAAAGCAAGAAGGCUUGUGGUGGCUGGCCAGCUGUGAAUUUUGUGUGAUAUGUGGAUUAUGGCCUCUGGUAAUCGAUUACCAAGGGUGGGUAAUCGAUUACAAGGCUUAAAAAUGAAGAUAGGAGACUAAGAUGGUCUUUGGUAAUCGAUUACCAAGGGGUGUAAUCGAUUACCAGGCUUGAAAACGAAGUCAGGAAACUAAGGGAGCCUCUGGUAAUCGAUUACCAGCCUGUGUAAUCGAUUACACAGAGGGAUGGGUCACUGGUAAUCGAUUACCAGGUAUGUGUAAUCGAUUACACAGUGCAUUUUUGCAUAUUUCAUGUCCUGAGGCUGUGUAAUUCAAGUUUAGCCUCUGGUAAUCGAUUACCAAGGCUGUGUAAUCGAUUACCAGAAAUGAAAAG